AAGUAUAUGAGGUGAUUAAUUGGAGGGCAAAUCAAGUGCCAGCAGCCGCGGUAAUACUUGUUCCAAGAGUGUGUAUGAUGAUUGAUGCAGUUAAAAAGUCCGUAGUUUAUUUUUUUAAAAAUUAGGGUUGAUGGGAAAAGAAGGGACACA
RNAcentral lists this ribosomal RNA (150 nucleotides) under Vairimorpha ceranae. RNAcentral's name for it is "Nosema ceranae partial small subunit ribosomal RNA". It matches the Rfam family "Microsporidia small subunit ribosomal RNA", at positions 355 to 504 of the family's 1311-position model. The record is from RNAcentral. Lineage: Eukaryota; Fungi; Microsporidia; Nosematidae.